Panthera uncia (snow leopard) is the source of this 2214-nucleotide long non-coding RNA. RefSeq lists it as uncharacterized. Lineage: Eukaryota; Metazoa; Chordata; Mammalia; Carnivora; Felidae. The record is from RefSeq and is a predicted model, not a curated record. The transcript has 2 exons.
UGCAGAGGCCACAGAACACGUCUACCCGUGAGGUACGAGUGAGGACGCGUUUCUGAAGCUCAGAAAGCGGCCGGGCCAAAAGGUGAGGUGGCAGAUGCAGUGGAAAGCUGCCGCCACAUCCGGUCACGGCUGCUGGGGCUGAACCGGCAGCCUGAGCGCCGAAGACGAGAGCGAGGCUGCUCAAAGACUCGGAGCUCACCGUGAGGCUGGCAGAGCCCCGACCGAGGCUGCAGAGGGGCGGGCUCUGGGGCAUGCCAGGCGCCAGCCGGGAAGGCUGCUGCGCUGCUAACUCCGUGUGCCCUGGGCCGUCUGCCCCCCUGCUCCACCUCAAACACCGGCCCCUAUCCCGUUAAAGUCUGGCCUCACCCCCGCCCUCACGGGGUCCCGGAGUGCUCGAAGUCCAGUUCCUGAGCGGCACUGAAGGCCGGACCAGAGAGGACAGGCCGGCACGGGCUCCCAUGUGGGGUGGGCACCAGCCAAGCCUUCAGGGCUACCUGAAGGUGGGACUGGGUGUGACCAGCAGAAGGCUGGAGUGACGGCGGGAGCUUGUUAGUACAGGGACAGGGAGGGCAUUCCGGCCAGCCAGGGUGAGCGACAAAUCCUACAAACCAGUCCCGUCAUGGGAGCCAAGUAGGGCUCGCAGCGGGUGCCCUGGGUGUUAAUACCCUACGUGAUCUCAUCUCAGUACAGGCUGUCGUACAACAGAGCACUCGGGCCCAACCCUGGACCUGCCAGGACCUGCCCUGCACCGAGGCCUCGAACUUGCACAGCAGGCCAGCGUCUCGUCUCGGUGGCUUACAGGACCUCUGCCACCUCGUGGGGGUGGGGUAGCCUGGCAUGCCUUCAAAGUUGUCCUCAGAGAGCAAGCCUGGCAAAACAGGAGAAAUCAUGUCUGAAUGUAAGCUGAUGCCCUAGAUGUAACUUCCAGACCUCAUUGACCGAAACACCAAGUUUUGUCCAGAACCGAGCCUAGACUGCAGGGGAGGCACCAGCUGGGACCCACUCCAGUUCCCGUGCCUCCCCAGGGACGGAGCCAGGAGGGGCCAGGAUCGGAAGGGCCAGCGGAGGGAGGGGGCAGGCCGAGGCCUGAGGCCUGACCUGGUCGGCACAGGGAAGGGGCUGCCCGUGGGGUACCCACCCUGGGUAGUGAGUAGGACUCUCUCCGCGUUGUUGGGCAGGCCCAGCCAGGAGGGCGUCUGCGUGUCGGGGAGCAGCUCCACCCACUGCACGAACUCCUCUCGCCUAGAAAAGCAGCACGUUGGGAAAUGCCACCCUGGGUGACGCCGGGGACUGCCGGGCACGGCUGGGGUCUGGACCACAGGAGGUAGGCUUGUACCUGAUGCCGUCGGGCAUUUGAAUGUCUUUGUGCCCGUCGACCUUGCAGGCCAGCUUAAAUUCACUAUCGAAACUCUUCGUCGUGAACAGACGCUCCAGGAAAGUGUUAAGCAGACGCUGAUCGAACUCGUUGUCCACCCGCCCGCCGUAGAUGGACUGGGCCAUCAAGGUCUUCAGAGCGGACCACGGGAUCUUGUCUGGCGAGAUGUUCUGCCUGCCCUGUGUGAGGAAAGCUGGGUUUGUGGGGCAGGUCGGAGGGGAACCGGCACACCAGGUCCCUCUGUUGGUGGGGUGAGUCCUUCCUCACACCCACAUCGAACACGACCCCCACCGUCGGCCACCACAGCCGUGCGCGCUCCCGAGCGUCCCCUCCCAUCUGACACGGCAGCCCGCACUUGCCUUUGCCGUGUCAUCCAGCCACGUGUCUACCGUGUCGCAGGCCGACCGCAGGUCAGACUCCCCAAAUUCAUACUUCUUUGACCACCCCAGGGGUGCGUAUCGUAAGCGUUCUUGGAUGAUGGCGUGGAACCAGGCCAGCAGGAAGUAUAAGCGAGCACGCUCAUUGGGAGACUGGGUGAGGAAGGUUAUCAAAGACGGAAUCCUUAGAAAGCAACAUCCUUUCCAAGAAAACAGUGCAGCUUCUCUAACAAAGUUUUAAGAAGAGCUUUUUGGGGGAGCCCAGGGGGCUCAGUCCAUUGAGCAUCCGACUUGGGCUCAGGUCGUGAUCUCGCAGUUUGUGGGUUCGAGCCCCACGUCGGGCUCUGUGCUGACAGCUCAGAGCCUGGAGCCUGCUUCCGAUUCUGUGUCUCCCUCUCUCUCUGCCCCUCCCCCGCUUGUGCUGUCUCUCUUUCAAAAAUAAAAAGAGCUUUUCACCCUGAA